AGUCACAGUGGAGGAGCAAGACUGACGAUGCAUUGGGUGUGGACACCAUGCAUAGUCAAAGGUCUAAGAGCAAUAUGUGAACUGGGAUGGGCACCCACACCUUGCCAGUUGGCAGCAUGAGGUGUUUUGUAGCAACAUCAGUUACUGACGCACAUUUUUACCUUGAGCUGAUACCAGCUGUUCCUCUGUCUGGCAGCCUUGAAACCUUGGAAACACUACCACCUUCCCUCUACCUGUGGAUCGAUUUUGCACUGGCCGCUCCCAGAGCAGCAGGAGGUGCUGUUUCCUGGUGAUGAUGGCAGAACCUCAGUGGCCUGGAUGGACAGAGCUUACUGCAGAGGUCAGCAGCAAUAAGAUCCAAGAAAUCAAACUACGCCCAGUGCUGAGAAAGAGUCAACAUCCUCCUCACUGCUGCUUGGCCAAGUGGCACAGAGUGAACUCGCUGCACAUUGGCCAGAGUCUGGAACUUGUCACUGAAUGGAGCUACACAUAAGAAAAUCUUGACCAAAGAUGUGGUCGCUGACACAAAUUAGAUUUGGCACAAUAGAUUUUUUUUUAAAGUUUGGACAAUAGAUUUUUGAUUUUAUUGUCACGUGUAUUUCACAGUAAGAGUAGAAUAAAAUACAGUCAAAAGCUUUCAUUUGUCGCCAGGAUAUGGCACCAUUUUGAAUAAUUUCAGAAUAAGGAAGAAAAUAAAGAUAUAGCUUGAAGAUCCUUUCCUGAACCACUCGCCACCACUUUGCUGCCAUCUACACAGGACCCAACCAAUGUCAAAGACACCAAUCCCCAGAGCUGAUUCUCCUCUGCCAUCGUCUCGCUACCCCCUGCACUGGACCCACCAUCAUCAGCGUGUCUCUUGCUGCUGGGUCCACCUCAUUGUUGUUGUCGUGAUGCCCUUCCAUCAACGUUUCGCUGCGCCAGCACCAGACCCAACCAACAAUGAAGUUGCUGAUCCUCAUGCACCAUAGGCCGCUGGGCCUAUCUCACCCACAUCAUACCAGACAUGUGAAACAGGUGGCUCACACACAUAAACACCUUGUCUACAGUAACAGUCUUGGCAAUGGUCAUCAGGCCAGUUUGGAGGGGGGCUGGGGGAAGCAGAGGGUGAAUGCUGUUCAUCCUGCCUGAGGAAUACAGCAGAUCACACCUGUUUUGGCACAAACCUAGAGGAAGCCCCAUACUGAGGUUAGGGUAUGUUGUACAGAGGAGGUCUACCCGCUCUGAGAACUAACACCAAAACACCCAAAGAGGAGCACCUCGCCCUAUAAUCUGUAAAAGGAGCAUGAAAAGUGGUGUAACCUACCUUUCAGCAACUUCUAGUGGACUAAUCAAAUAAAUUCUCAACACUUACUUUACAA
Long non-coding RNA from Rhincodon typus (whale shark), 1358 nucleotides. RefSeq lists it as uncharacterized. The record is from RefSeq and is a predicted model, not a curated record. Lineage: Eukaryota; Metazoa; Chordata; Chondrichthyes; Orectolobiformes; Rhincodontidae. The transcript has 2 exons.